GGGAAGAUGGCUCAGAGGUUAAGAGUACUGGUUGUUCUUCAGAGGACCUGGGUUCAAUUCCCAGUACCUA
Molecule: transfer RNA, 70 nt
Filed under: Mesocricetus auratus (golden hamster)
Lineage: Eukaryota; Metazoa; Chordata; Mammalia; Rodentia; Cricetidae
Rfam family: tRNA
About the family: Transfer RNA (tRNA) molecules are approximately 80 nucleotides in length.
Source: Rfam by way of RNAcentral